Molecule: ribosomal RNA, 253 nt
Filed under: uncultured bacterium
Lineage: Bacteria
Description: partial 16S ribosomal RNA
Rfam family: Bacterial small subunit ribosomal RNA
Source: RNAcentral
UACGAAGGGGGCUAGCGUUGCUCGGAAUCACUGGGCGUAAAGCGCACGUAGGCGGCUUUCUAAGUCAGGGGUGAAAUCCUGGAGCUCAACUCCAGAACUGCCUUUGAUACUGGAGAGCUUGAGUCCGGAAGAGGUGAGUGGAACUCCGAGUGUAGAGGUGAAAUUCGUAGAUAUUCGGAGGAACACCAGUGGCGAAGGCGGCUCACUGGUCCGGUACUGACGCUGAGGUGCGAAAGCGUGGGGAGCAAACAGG